GCUUUACGGGAUAACUUGGUCAGUAGAGCAUGAGACUUUUCAUCUCAGGGCUGUGGGUUCGAGCCCCACGUUGGGCA
This is a non-coding RNA of Podarcis lilfordi (Lilford's wall lizard), 77 nucleotides long. Lineage: Eukaryota; Metazoa; Chordata; Lepidosauria; Squamata; Lacertidae. The record is from the annotation of a GenBank genome assembly.